GCCGGCGUGGUGAAAUUGGUAGACGCGCUAGACUCAAAAUCUUGUGUCCGCGAGGACGUGUCGGUUCGAGUCCGACCGCCGGUA
This 84-nucleotide transfer RNA is filed under the name Roseimicrobium gellanilyticum. RNAcentral describes it as "tRNA-Leu". It matches the Rfam family "tRNA". From Rfam's summary of the family: Transfer RNA (tRNA) molecules are approximately 80 nucleotides in length. Their secondary structure includes four short double-helical elements and three loops (D, anti-codon, and T loops). The record is from RNAcentral. Lineage: Bacteria; Pseudomonadati; Verrucomicrobiota; Verrucomicrobiia; Verrucomicrobiales; Verrucomicrobiaceae. RNAcentral also lists the same sequence under 1 other name.